Molecule: transfer RNA, 85 nt
Filed under: Felis catus (domestic cat)
Lineage: Eukaryota; Metazoa; Chordata; Mammalia; Carnivora; Felidae
Also listed under: 2 other names
Rfam family: tRNA
About the family: Transfer RNA (tRNA) molecules are approximately 80 nucleotides in length. Their secondary structure includes four short double-helical elements and three loops (D, anti-codon, and T loops).
Source: Rfam by way of RNAcentral
GCCUAGGUGGCUCAGUUGGUAGAGCGUCUGACUUAGGUUCAGGUCAUGAUCUCACGGUUUAUGAGUUCAAGCCCCAUGUCAGGCU